Non-coding RNA from Pelobates cultripes (western spadefoot toad), 339 nucleotides. Lineage: Eukaryota; Metazoa; Chordata; Amphibia; Anura; Pelobatidae. The record is from the annotation of a GenBank genome assembly.
CUGGAGAGAACAGCCUCUCUCCUACCUGCUUCCUGGGAGGAAGCCAGCAAUUCCCCCCUUUUACCUGCCUAGCAGGGAGGGGUUUAUUCCCACUGCAACAGCUGAUUAACUGCAGCUGAGCAGUGGGUUGGAGACGGUCCAAAAAACCCUGGCCUGGAUCUAUGUCUCCCCAGAAAACCACUAAACUGUGGAGUGGAGCAUUGGCCCACCCUUCUCUCCAAAUGCUCCACCCCAGGGGCCCAUAACUAAACAAAGCUUUGUGUUGUGCAACACACAAACUACACAUACUUCCCCUGGGGUUAAAAGGCCUAUCUGCCUUCACUUUAUCACAGUAUAUAU